GGGGAAUCUUCCGCAAUGGGCGGAAGCCUGACGGAGCAACGCCGCGUGAGGGAUGAAGGCCUCUGGGCUGUAAACCUCUUUUCUCAAGGAAGAAGAUCUGACGGUACUUGAGAAAUAAGCCACGGCUAAUUCCGUGCCAGCAGCCGCGGUAAUACGGGAGUGGCAAGCGUUAUCCGGAAUUAUUGGGCGUAAAGCGUCCGCAGGUGGCCCUGUAAGUCUGUCGUUAAAGCGUGGAGCUUAACUCCAUUUAAGCGAUGGAAACUACAGGGCUAGAGUGUGGUAGGGGCAGAGGGAAUUCCCGGUGUAGCGGUGAAAUGCGUAGAUAUCGGGAAGAACACCAGUGGCGAAGGCGCUCUGCUGGGCCAUCACUGACACUCAUGGACGAAAGCCAGGGGAGCGAAAGGGAUUAGAUACCCCUGUAGUC
This 424-nucleotide ribosomal RNA is filed under the name uncultured cyanobacterium. RNAcentral describes it as "bacterial SSU rRNA". It matches the Rfam family "Bacterial small subunit ribosomal RNA", at positions 356 to 795 of the family's 1533-position model. The record is from RNAcentral. Lineage: Bacteria; Bacillati; Cyanobacteriota.